GUCGAGCGGAACCAUUGGGAGCUUGCUCCUUUGGUUUAGCGGCGGACGGGUGAGUAACACGUGGGCAACCUGCCCUGCAGAUCGGGAUAACUCCGGGAAACCGGUGCUAAUACCGAAUAGUUUGCGGCCUCUCAUGAGGCUGCACGGAAAGACGGUUUCGGCUGUCACUGCAGGAUGGGCCCGCGGCGCAUUAGCUAGUUGGUGGGGUAACGGCCUACCAAGGCGACGAUGCGUAGCCGACCUGAGAGGGUGAUCGGCCACACUGGGACUGAGACACGGCCCAGACUCCUACGGGAGGCAGCAGUAGGGAAUCUUCCGCAAUGGGCGCAAGCCUGACGGAGCAACGCCGCGUGAGGGACGAAGGCCUCUGGGCUGUAAACCUCUUUUCUCAAGGAAGAAGACAUGACGGUACUUGAGGAAUAAGCACCGGCUAACUCCGUGCCAGCAGCCGCGGUAAU
RNAcentral lists this ribosomal RNA (458 nucleotides) under uncultured bacterium. RNAcentral's name for it is "bacterial SSU rRNA". It matches the Rfam family "Bacterial small subunit ribosomal RNA", at positions 61 to 524 of the family's 1533-position model. The record is from RNAcentral.